UCCCUGGUGGCUCAGAUGGUAAAGCAUCUGCCUAUAAUGCGGGACACCCGGGUUCAAUCCCUGGGUUGGGAA
RNAcentral lists this transfer RNA (72 nucleotides) under Bos taurus (domestic cattle). It matches the Rfam family "tRNA". From Rfam's summary of the family: Transfer RNA (tRNA) molecules are approximately 80 nucleotides in length. The record is from Rfam by way of RNAcentral. RNAcentral also lists the same sequence under 5 other names. Lineage: Eukaryota; Metazoa; Chordata; Mammalia; Artiodactyla; Bovidae.